Molecule: ribosomal RNA, 461 nt
Filed under: uncultured Sphingobacteriales bacterium
Lineage: Bacteria; Pseudomonadati; Bacteroidota; Sphingobacteriia; Sphingobacteriales
Description: partial 16S ribosomal RNA
Source: RNAcentral
GACUACACGGGUAUCUAAUCCUGUUUGCUCCCCACGCUUUCGUGCCUCAGCGUCAAUGAAGGCCCAGCAAGCUGCCUUCGCAAUCGGUGUUCUAUGGCAUAUCUAAGCAUUUCACCGCUACAUGCCACAUUCCGCCUACCUCAACCUCAUUCAAGUUAAACAGUAUCAAUCGCAGUUCGCCCGGUUAAGCCGGGGAAUUUCACAACUGACUUAUCUAACAGCCUACGCACCCUUUAAACCCAGUGAUUCCGGAUAACGCUUGCACCCUCCGUAUUACCGCGGCUGCUGGCACGGAGUUAGCCGGUGCUUAUUCUGAUGGUACCCUCAAGUCCCGAUAAAUCGAGAUUAUUGUCCCCAUCCAAAAGAAGUUUACAACGCUGAGCGCCUUCAUCCUUCACGCGGCAUGGCUGGAUCAGGCUUCCGCCCAUUGUCCAAUAUUCCUUACUGCAGCCCCCCGUAGG